This 494-nucleotide ribosomal RNA is filed under the name uncultured bacterium. RNAcentral's name for it is "partial 16S ribosomal RNA". It matches the Rfam family "Bacterial small subunit ribosomal RNA", at positions 28 to 507 of the family's 1533-position model. The record is from RNAcentral.
GACGAACGCUGGCGGCGUGCUUAACACAUGCAAGUCGAACGGAAAGGCCUGCUUUUCCUUGUGUACUGCGGGUACUCGAGUGGCGAACGCGUGAGUAACACGUGCGCGAUAUGUUCCCAACUUGGGAAUAAGCUGGGGGAACUGGGUCUAAUUACCGCCAGGACUGCAGGGUGGGGCGUGUGGUGGAAACCGUUUUUCUUGUGGUCGCGGCUGAGCUCGCGGCCUAUCAGCUUGUUGGUGGGGUAAUGGCUGACCAAGGCGGGGACAGGUAGCCGGCCUGGGGGGGUCGACGGGCGCAUUGGGACUGGGAUACGGCCCAGACGCCAACGGGAAGCAGCAGAGGGGAGUAAGGAGCGGUGAGCAGAAGCCUGAUGCAGCGACGCCGCGUGGGCGAUGACGGGCUUGGGGUGGUAAACUCCUUGCGACCAAGAGCAAGCCACCGGGUUGGAGGGGUGGUGACGGUAGUGGUAGAAGAAGCACCGGCUAACUACGUG